CCCAAAUUAGGGGGAAAAAAAGCUGUGUCAGAAGUGGGAUUUGAACCCACGCCUCCAUGCGGAGACCAGAAAUCCCAUGGGGAAGGCUCAGCCUUGAGUCUGGCGCCUUAGACCACUCGGCCAUCCUGACACCCAGCAGCCUUCCUCCCCCUCCUCAUCCUCACUCAUUAACUUUGGGGGGGUGGGCUUCAGGGGGACCCAAUUCUCCAUCCUUUGGGCCCAAAUCCCUGUGGAAAUUCCAACGAGGAGGGCUGACAUCACAAC
RNAcentral lists this transfer RNA (264 nucleotides) under Gallus gallus (chicken). Lineage: Eukaryota; Metazoa; Chordata; Aves; Galliformes; Phasianidae. The record is from RNAcentral.